Molecule: ribosomal RNA, 2526 nt
Filed under: Escherichia coli
Lineage: Bacteria; Pseudomonadati; Pseudomonadota; Gammaproteobacteria; Enterobacterales; Enterobacteriaceae
Description: partial 23S ribosomal RNA
Rfam family: Bacterial large subunit ribosomal RNA
Source: RNAcentral
GGGACACGUGGUAUCCUGUCUGAAUAUGGGGGGACCAUCCUCCAAGGCUAAAUACUCCUGACUGACCGAUAGUGAACCAGUACCGUGAGGGAAAGGCGAAAAGAACCCCGGCGAGGGGAGUGAAAAAGAACCUGAAACCGUGUACGUACAAGCAGUGGGAGCCUCUUAAUGGGGUGACUGCGUACCUUUUGUAUAAUGGGUCAGCGACUUAUAUUCUGUAGCAAGGUUAACCGAAUAGGGGAGCCGAAGGGAAACCGAGUCUUAACUGGGCGUUAAGUUGCAGGGUAUAGACCCGAAACCCGGUGAUCUAGCCAUGGGCAGGUUGAAGGUUGGGUAACACUAACUGGAGGACCGAACCGACUAAUGUUGAAAAAUUAGCGGAUGACUUGUGGCUGGGGGUGAAAGGCCAAUCAAACCGGGAGAUAGCUGGUUCUCCCCGAAAGCUAUUUAGGUAGCGCCUCGUGAAUUCAUCUCCGGGGGUAGAGCACUGUUUCGGCAAGGGGGUCAUCCCGACUUACCAACCCGAUGCAAACUGCGAAUACCGGAGAAUGUUAUCACGGGAGACACACGGCGGGUGCUAACGUCCGUCGUGAAGAGGGAAACAACCCAGACCGCCAGCUAAGGUCCCAAAGUCAUGGUUAAGUGGGAAACGAUGUGGGAAGGCCCAGACAGCCAGGAUGUUGGCUUAGAAGCAGCCAUCAUUUAAAGAAAGCGUAAUAGCUCACUGGUCGAGUCGGCCUGCGCGGAAGAUGUAACGGGGCUAAACCAUGCACCGAAGCUGCGGCAGCGACACUAUGUGUUGUUGGGUAGGGGAGCGUUCUGUAAGCCUGUGAAGGUGGCCUGUGAGGGUUGCUGGAGGUAUCAGAAGUGCGAAUGCUGACAUAAGUAACGAUAAAGCGGGUGAAAAGCCCGCUCGCCGGAAGACCAAGGGUUCCUGUCCAACGUUAAUCGGGGCAGGGUGAGUCGACCCCUAAGGCGAGGCCGAAAGGCGUAGUCGAUGGGAAACAGGUUAAUAUUCCUGUACUUGGUGUUACUGCGAAGGGGGGACGGAGAAGGCUAUGUUGGCCGGGCGACGGUUGUCCCGGUUUAAGCGUGUAGGCUGGUUUUCCAGGCAAAUCCGGAAAACCAAGGCUGAGGCGUGAUGACGAGGCACUACGGUGCUGAAGCGACAAAUGCCCUGCUUCCAGGAAAAGCCUCUAAGCAUCAGGUAACAUCAAAUCGUACCCCAAACCGACACAGGUGGUCAGGUAGAGAAUACCAAGGCGCUUGAGAGAACUCGGGUGAAGGAACUAGGCAAAAUGGUGCCGUAACUUCGGGAGAAGGCACGCUGAUAUGUAGGUGAAGCGACUUGCUCGUGGAGCUGAAAUCAGUCGAAGAUACCAGCUGGCUGCAACUGUUUAUUAAAAACACAGCACUGUGCAAACACGAAAGUGGACGUAUACGGUGUGACGCCUGCCCGGUGCCGGAAGGUUAAUUGAUGGGGUUAGCGGCAACGCGAAGCUCUUGAUCGAAGCCCCGGUAAACGGCGGCCGUAACUAUAACGGUCCUAAGGUAGCGAAAUUCCUUGUCGGGUAAGUUCCGACCUGCACGAAUGGCGUAAUGAUGGCCAGGCUGUCUCCACCCGAGACUCAGUGAAAUUGAACUCGCUGUGAAGAUGCAGUGUACCCGCGGCAAGACGGAAAGACCCCGUGAACCUUUACUAUAGCUUGACACUGAACAUUGAGCCUUGAUGUGUAGGAUAGGUGGGAGGCUUUGAAGUGUGGACGCCAGUCUGCAUGGAGCCGACCUUGAAAUACCACCCUUUAAUGUUUGAUGUUCUAACGUUGGCCCGUAAUCCGGGUUGCGGACAGUGUCUGGUGGGUAGUUUGACUGGGGCGGUCUCCUCCUAAAGAGUAACGGAGGAGCACGAAGGUUGGCUAAUCCUGGUCGGACAUCAGGAGGUUAGUGCAAUGGCAUAAGCCAGCUUGACUGCGAGCGUGACGGCGCGAGCAGGUGCGAAAGCAGGUCAUAGUGAUCCGGUGGUUCUGAAUGGAAGGGCCAUCGCUCAACGGAUAAAAGGUACUCCGGGGAUAACAGGCUGAUACCGCCCAAGAGUUCAUAUCGACGGCGGUGUUUGGCACCUCGAUGUCGGCUCAUCACAUCCUGGGGCUGAAGUAGGUCCCAAGGGUAUGGCUGUUCGCCAUUUAAAGUGGUACGCGAGCUGGGUUUAGAACGUCGUGAGACAGUUCGGUCCCUAUCUGCCGUGGGCGCUGGAGAACUGAGGGGGGCUGCUCCUAGUACGAGAGGACCGGAGUGGACGCAUCACUGGUGUUCGGGUUGUCAUGCCAAUGGCACUGCCCGGUAGCUAAAUGCGGAAGAGAUAAGUGCUGAAAGCAUCUAAGCACGAAACUUGCCCCGAGAUGAGUUCUCCCUGACUCCUUGAGAGUCCUGAAGGAACGUUGAAGACGACGACGUUGAUAGGCCGGGUGUGUAAGCGCAGCGAUGCGUUGAGCUAACCGGUACUAAUGAACCGUGAGGCUUAACCUU